RNAcentral lists this transfer RNA (58 nucleotides) under Agama insularis. Its description in RNAcentral is "tRNA-Ser". Lineage: Eukaryota; Metazoa; Chordata; Lepidosauria; Squamata; Agamidae. The record is from RNAcentral.
GAGAUUGAACCACGAACUGCUAAAUCAACCAACCGAACCUAAUGACCUCGGCACUCUC